CCUACGGGAGGCAGCAGUGAGGAAUAUUGGUCAAUGGGCUUACGCCUGAACCAGCCAAGUCGCGUGAGGGAAGACUGCCCUAUGGGUUGUAAACCUCUUUUGUCAGGGAGCAACGCCGGCUACGUGUAGCCGGACUGAGAGUACCUGAAGAAAAAGCAUCCGCUAACUCCGGGCCAGCAGACGCGGGAAUACGGGGGAUGCGAGCGUUAUCCGGAUUUAUUGGGUUUAAAGGGGGCGUAGGCGGAAUGCCAAGUCAGCGGUAACAUCGCGGGGCUCAACCUCGCUACGCCGUUGAAACUGGCGUGCUUGAGUGCGCGAGAAGUAUGCGGAAUGCGUGGUGUAGCGGUGAAAUGCAUAGAUAUCACGCAGAACUCCGAUUGCGAAGGCAGCAUACCGGCGCCCAACUGACGCUGAAGCACGAAAGCGUGGGUAUCGAACAGGAUUAGAUACCCCUGUAGUC
This 460-nucleotide ribosomal RNA is filed under the name uncultured bacterium. RNAcentral's name for it is "partial 16S ribosomal RNA". It matches the Rfam family "Bacterial small subunit ribosomal RNA", at positions 338 to 795 of the family's 1533-position model. The record is from RNAcentral.